Molecule: long non-coding RNA, 890 nt
Filed under: Mytilus galloprovincialis (Mediterranean mussel)
Lineage: Eukaryota; Metazoa; Mollusca; Bivalvia; Mytilida; Mytilidae
Source: RNAcentral
CUCUGAGUUUGUGACAAUAAAAUCAAUAACUGAUGUUUGCAAGUUAGCUGUUUUAAUUAGACUUCACCUGACCAUCCUGAGUGUUGUUACAUGUACCUGUGAUAAAUGUAGGUAUAUAUAUAUAUGUAUAUAUAUAUACAUGAAUUAUAAACAAAUCAUAAAUAUAUAUACUGUAUGUAUAAAUAAUUGUUAAGAGACAAAUUUGUCUUAGGCAAUAUAUGUAUGAGGAUAUGGAUUAGGUCUACAGCAUAGAGAAUAAAGAGCUAAAAGUAUACAGAUUAUAAAAGGGGGGGGAGGAAAUAAGAGAGAAAAAUAAUAUAAACGAAAUAUAAAUAUAUAUACAGUAUAUAAUUAAUUGUUAAAGAGACAAAUUUUUCUCUAGCGAUACAUGUAUGUGGGUAUGGAUAGGUCUACAGAAAGAGAAUAAAGAGCUAAAGUAUACAGAUUAUAAAGGUGUGUGGGGGGGGGGGGGGGUGGAGGAGGAAAUAAGGAAAAAAAAUAUUAUAAACAAAAUAUAAAUAUAUAUACAGUAUAUAAUUAAUUGUUAAAGAGACAAUUUUUUCUCUAACGAUACAUGUAUGUGGGUAUGGAUAGGGUCUACAGAAUAGAGAGAAAAAUAGGCCAAAUAUAUAAAGAAUCAUAUAAAACCUACAAAGAAUGAAGAUAAAUGGGCAAAAUGUAUUUAUAUAUAAAGAAUAGAGAAAAAUAGUUAAUAAAAAUAAAAAUACAGAAAUGAUAGACCCCCCUUUCCCCACAAAUCCGGUCCCUCAUUUAAGUAUUUCACAUAUUAUUGAAAGGGUAACACAUUGACCCCCUAAGGACAUAUCUCUGACUUAUCUGUACAAUAGUACAGCAAUCAGUAGCCUUGAUAUAAUACAGAUAAUCUGGCU